GACCUUGUGUAGCUCAGCGGUUAAGAUGUUGUACUUCUGAUUGGAAGGUCUUGAGUUCAAAUCCCAGCACUGCCA
Molecule: non-coding RNA, 75 nt
Organism: Ameiurus melas (black bullhead)
Lineage: Eukaryota; Metazoa; Chordata; Actinopteri; Siluriformes; Ictaluridae
Source: the annotation of a GenBank genome assembly